Molecule: transfer RNA, 90 nt
Filed under: Paractinoplanes rishiriensis
Lineage: Bacteria; Bacillati; Actinomycetota; Actinomycetes; Micromonosporales; Micromonosporaceae
Description: Actinoplanes rishiriensis tRNA-Arg
Source: RNAcentral
CGGACGCUGGCCAGAUGGGCGGGCCACGCCUCGCGCAGGCGUUCCAGGCCCCGGGGGGUCAGCACCGCGUUCCAGCCGCGGGCGUCGUCC